CGUAGGGUGCAAGCGUUAAUCGGAAUUACUGGGCGUAAAGCGUGCGCAGGCGGUUUUGUAAGUCUGUCGUGAAAGCCCCGGGCUCAACCUGGGAAUUGCGAUGGAGACUGCAAGGCUUGAAUCUGGCAGAGGGGGGUAGAAUUCCACGUGUAGCAGUGAAAUGCGUAGAGAUGUGGAGGAACACCGAUGGCGAAGGCAGCCCCCUGGGUCAAGAUUGACGCUCAUGCACGAAAGCGUGGGGAGCAAACAGGAUUAGAUACCCUGGUAGCCCACGCCCUAAACGAUGUCUACUAGUUGUCGGGUUUUAAUUAACUUGGUAACACAGCUAACGCGUGAAGUAGACCGCCUGGGGAGUACGGUCGCAAGAUUA
RNAcentral lists this ribosomal RNA (370 nucleotides) under uncultured organism. RNAcentral's name for it is "bacterial SSU rRNA". It matches the Rfam family "Bacterial small subunit ribosomal RNA", at positions 526 to 896 of the family's 1533-position model. The record is from RNAcentral.